Mytilus californianus (California mussel) is the source of this 233-nucleotide long non-coding RNA. RefSeq lists it as uncharacterized. Lineage: Eukaryota; Metazoa; Mollusca; Bivalvia; Mytilida; Mytilidae. The transcript is spliced from 2 exons. The record is from RefSeq and is a predicted model, not a curated record.
AUAGUAGUAACAGACAUAUAUAGAAGUAUUAUCAGUUGAUCAAGAAAGGAAAACAAGGAUUAUUUAGCAGUUUAUUCCAAUGUGGUGUGGUAUGAUAAACGUCAUGGUACCAGUCUUGUAUUACAAUGCCAGUUUCCGCAAAACAUGGAGUGAAAUGAAAUGGUACAUUUUGUCAGAAUUUUUUACUGGAGUCAUUUUUUUCUGUCUGAUUAAAAGUUUAUGCUGAAUUGAAA